RNAcentral lists this long non-coding RNA (5764 nucleotides) under Homo sapiens (human). RNAcentral's name for it is "HSALNT0120351". The record is from RNAcentral. Lineage: Eukaryota; Metazoa; Chordata; Mammalia; Primates; Hominidae.
CCGCCACCAAAGUUCGAGCCGCUCCUCCCCAGCCCAGCGCGCGCCCCGCCCCGUGCCCCACGUGCAGCGCCCCCACCAAUGGGCGCACCGCGCGCGCGGACCCGGAUCAGGAAACGCGCGGAUCCUGCUUUCUCAGGCAGUAUCUGAGGCUAGAGUUAUAUUUGCAGGACAGUCUAUAAUUUCUGAAUUGCUGAAAAUUAGCGUAUUAACGAUAUCAGAAGCUCCGGAAAGGAGGGAGAGGAGACUGUUGCCUGCUAUUUGAGCGAGAGUCCCCCAGACUGUUCUCUAUCUGAUGCAUGUCUCUAGAGCUGAACAGUGGAAUGGCAGAAUUUCAAAACGCCUGAUGGUGGCAUUUGAAGGCUUCCCCACCACCUACACUAGACACAAGAUUUGAGAGGAACAACACUUUACCAGCCAUUUGACCAAUUAAUUCUUUGGGGAUAAUUUUCUUGUAGUAGUUUAAAAUAAUGCACACAACGCAGGGAUGAGGACUGAUAUUCAUAUUGGGAUUACACAUGAAUUUUAACUGGGAUUGUUUGAGAGGCCUGAGGUUCAAAAUCCUCCAGAUAAAGCAAGCACACUAAAAGCAAUAAAUUCUGCAAGUACUCUUUUCUUUUACUUUGAAGACUAGCUAAGAGGUAUCUAUGGUUUUUGAAGCUGACAUGUCUAUAAGGUGUGUCACAUGUUUUUAACCAAAAAGCACAAUAAAAAGGUUUUUCCCAAAGAGACACGUAAUUGUCUUGUUGACUCAUCGAGGGGUUUCAGUUUUCCUCAUUUCACUAGCCCAAAUGUGGUGAAAUGUUCACUGCUGCAACAGCAAUCACCACAGUUGUUUCCUUUCUUCUGUUUCAUCUGGCAAACCCCCAUUUGGCUUCAAGCUCUUGGCCAGAGUGAAAACUUUACACAUUGCACAGAAGCACCCUGAUUACUUCCAUGAAGGCAGUGUUUGGAAAAUAUUUACUUUACCACUGAACAUACCUGGCACCAUUAAAUCCAAUCAACCAAAAUAUUGGGAUGAUCUUAAACAUUCCUGCAAGAGUCCACAUUCUGAGUAGAUGAAUUAUUUCCAAAGUUAAAAAAGAAAAACCUAGGGAAAAUAUUUCACUUUUCUCUUCUCUGUUUUCCUAUACUGAUCCCUUGAAGGUCAAUUCAUAGAAAAGGGAAAUAUGUCCUCUGGAAAAUAGAUUCUUACAGCACCAACACUUAAAGCCAUUCUAGAUGCAUGAAAAAUAAAAUAUUGUUUAGCUCUUCAGUUGCAACUCACACAUGAGGCAUGGUUCUAGUCGGCUUCCUUAAUACACUAUUCUCUUUCUUUUCUGCUCUCCCACCCUUCUUCUUAGGUUGCUUUAUCUUCUCCUUGGCUUUUUUUUUUAAUUCCACGUGUAUCAUUAAAAAGUACAUUCUGAAGAAUAGAAAAUAUUCUAUUCUGUCCUGGUGGUCUUACAGAGUAGCCUGUUAUUUGUGGAUUUCACCUUUCUGCAUUCCCUACAGUCUAGUUAUUCACUUAUAGCUUGUAGCAUUUCUCUUACAUUCAAUUGUGGUUUAAUAAUAAACAUUAAAAAAAUUUCCAAACAGGAACAUUUUCAUGGCACCAGUAAGCAUUUUGUCACUGGCAGUGGUGGUGGAAGGGGUGAAGGGAGAAUUCUGUGUCUUUCAGGAGGGUUUCCACUUCCUUCCUUCCCCUUCUCAGAUCUCAGAACGCUUUGCAUUCAGCGGACUGUAGUUUCAGAAAAAGCAUAUUCUGUGUUUGAAAACUGCAAAGAUUAUAUUUUGCAAGAAGUGUCUGUGUUUGCAUUUAUUCUUACACACUUUAGGGGUCAUCAUGUGUACUAAAAAGACAAAAAACCGGCCAAUCAGAAUCCCUCUUUUCAAAUAAAGGAGGUUUCCUGCACCAUUCUGUUGCCUUUGAAGGCAUAAUGAAAUAUUGGAAACUUGUGACAUUAGUUUUUAAAGCUCCACAGAUGAGUUUUUAGCAUUUUUAUUUUGUGACAAACCCACAGACUCCUGGUUCUCCAACACCUAAGGUGUUGAUGUUUCAGUAAUCUAUGCCUAUUUACCUGCUGCUAUUCCCUCAGAAUGGGAGCGAUAAUUCAAGAUGAGAUACAGCAUGUAUUACUCUUGAAAAGAGGAAUUUUCUAUCCUUUCCUCCGUAAUUGAGGUCAUUCAACCACUAGGGUUCACCUGGAGUCCAUACCGUGAUACACGCGUCACUCUGAGCCAUUUUAUCUUUUGUGCUGAUAGUCAAGAUCACAGCUCUAACAUUGACAUCAAACUCUGUCUGGGCAGAUGACUAAGAGCACUGCACAAUGUAAACUUUUGACCCUCAACUUUUUGACCUGCAGUUGUAACGCACUAACCGCAAAGAUACACAAAGCCGAGCCUCUUCUUUCAGGGGGAAGGGGCCCCCCAGCAUCUCAGGAUGCCCUGCUUCUGCCACUGCCAUUUGAAAUUAGAGGGUGAAAUGGAUAUUUUUGUGUGUUUGUGACUGUACUUUUUGUUAAAUCAGCCUAUGACCUCUUCGUUAGCACCUAGGAACUAGAUUAACUUGAAAUCACUCGUGAUUCUAUUUUACAAGGAAAAUUUGGAGCAGAAUGGGAGAACCUUGCAAAAAGUGAAAGAAAAGAGAAGAUGGGGGAAAGCAGGCAAUGGGAGGUGGAGACACUUUUUCCCUUUAUUUAAAACUAAAGACGCAGCCCUAAUUGUUGGGAGAGCUGGCCCAAGCGGGUGAAUUGACUGUGAACUUGUACUAAAGCGUGCUCUGCUGGCGAUUCCUAGGGUGUGCAGAUUUAUCUUCUCUGCAUUUACUUAACCCGGCAGUGAACUGCGCGGGCGUCAUUUGUUAGGCGAUGACAGACUUCACCUCCAGCAAGGGCUGCUUCACAAAAUCGCAAUAAUUAUCUAAUAACCUUCAUAACAAAUAUUAUUAUUGAAAAGACUGGUUUGUGGGGAGGGGACCUGGUGGGAGAACAAAUUUAUUUGUGAACAACAACAAACAAAACAAACCUGGGCAGACCUUCAAGUUCUGGGGCUUAGAAUGGCUGGGGCUGUGGAUCCCCUCCCCUACUUGGGUGGGAGCUUAGGCUGACCCCCUCAGCCCUGCCUGGGAGCCCCGUUUAUAGUUUUGCCAUUGACUAGAAGGAAACUCCUCCUCAGAAACCAAAGGGAGGGAGCCCACAAUGCUCUGCACUCUCCAUGGUGGGCAAGCCAUGGACAGACCCCCAGCCAAGGCAGGGGGGAGGCUGAGAAGGGCAUCUUUUAAGCUAAAAGGAUUGUUUUCCUCUUUAAUUGCCUAUCUUUUAAGAUGUGAUUUGCUUUCCACUCACUAAUUAUUUCGAUAUAAUACUCUCAGAAUCUCAACAAAUGAACAGGACUCUGUUUUUUGGUGGGAAAUUCUGUCUUGCUCUCUCAGAGCCGCCAACAAUGAAGCAGGGGAAAGAGCAGGAGAAAGGGAAUCUUGGCAUAAUGUUGUGAAAUUAGACCAUGGAAACCCUAACAAACCACUAAGUAAGUGUGACCAGAAGCUUCCUGUUGUAUUUAUAGUUCAGAAAUAUUGUCUCUUCAGCUUGUGGGAACAAACGAGCCCCCGCACAUUGCCGCUGAGGAGGAGCACAGACACGCACUUCUGCCACCGGCUGAGGCUGGAUGUCUUCAUAAAGCCCUCAGUGACAGACAUAUUUUUUCUUAGUAAGUUCCUCUGCAAGAACAACCCAAAAGAAUCCACAAAAGAAAUAACUUAUCUACAGAAUGAGCAGAAAACCAGCCAUCCUCUUUAUUAUGCUUCCUAUGAAAAUAGGAAGAAAGAAAAAAAUCUUCCAGUAACACAUAGGUCUGACUGCAUGAUGUAUUUUUAAAGUCAUUUUAAUUCCAUGUGGCCAUGUGGGUUUGCCUGCUCUCUUAAAUUCUACUUAAGUUUUGUGAAGAUUAAAACAGACAGAAAUAAGCAAGCUGACAAUAUUUACAGCCUGUAAUUUUUCUCAUUCCUUGGAAAGAUUCUCUAUGUUCUGUGGUACUGGAUAUGACUUCAACAGGCUUUCUGCUCAUUCCCACACCCCAGGGUGGAAUAUGGCCAUGAAGUAGUGUGGAUAUUUUCUGUGUAAGUAACUCAAAUUAAACUGGCAGAAUCCCCGUCACUCUUUUUUUUUUCUAAUUUCAAUCACCAAGAAAUCACUCAAGCAAGAUCACCAAAUCAGUAACUAAAAUGGAACCAUAACGCAAUAUUUUCCAAUAAGGAGCCCAAAAUUCAGAGCAGCAAAACAAGGAAUCCAGUAUUCUCACAGACACAUAACAUUAUAAAAGAGAACCCAUACCCAUGUAGAGUUUAUAUCCUUGUUCCCACUAAGAUGUGGACACAUCUUCUUGAAUGCUGAAAUACCAAUGUUUACUUUAAUAGGUUACACACAAUGACUUCAGGAUUCUUCACCUUGCCACUAUUCAUGAGAAGUAGCACUUGUGGGAGGGUUUUGAUUUUUCAAAAAAACUUUCUAGGUUUUGCUUUCUGGACCUCUGACUUUAGGGACAUCUGUUGGACUUAUGUUGAGUGUAGGUGGCCUCUGCACAAUAAGUUUAUUGAAAUUCCAAAUCUAUACUUUCAAUUUUUUCACUUUAAGCACUUAAUAGGUAUCUUUACCAAUUAAUACUUGCUGAAAACUGCCCAGCUCCUAAGGAGAAAAGCAGAUCCUAUUUUUUGUUUCAUUUCUGAAUGCAGUAGGAGAAUUUGGCUUAAUUCCUAAAAUAGGAUUGGAGGAAAUCUACUGGGUCCCUUGUGGGUACCCAUCCAGAAAAAGAUCCCAGGACAGGCCACAGUCCCCAGUCACUGGGCUUGGGUUUUGCCAUUGAAGAAUAUGGGGGGUUGGGGCCAGAAGGGGUGACUGGGGCCAAUAUGGAAUUGUGCCCAGGAUAAACUUAUUUCACCUUACUUCACCCAUUGGUGCAAUUUUGGAGACUGUUCUGGAAAUCAUAGAUUAUGUAAAUUUCCUGGGAUCAAACAGAAAGAGCAACUAACAAAAGAAAGGCGGAAAUCUCCUACUGACAAAGGACCAAUUUCUUCCCUAAACUACCGUUUAUGAUGUGUCAGGAAAAACAACCUAAUGGCUCUGGGGACUUUUAAGUUGGGCACUGAAGACACCUCAAUUUCCCCCAAAACUUUAGAGCACAGUUUGGAACAGAGAAUUCGCCUGUAUGUUGAGGGGGAGUGAAUUUCUCCAAUCUUAAUGUUAUCCAGGGGGCCGCCUAAGUUGCCUUCUGAGGGUCCUGUGCGUAGAUGUUUUUAAUUCUACAAAGAAGGAGAGGAACAGGAAAGAAGAGAGGGAGAAGAAAGGCAAAGCGGAAGAAAAGAAAGCGCUUUAACCCCUUUCAAUUAGCCUGGGGAUUCAAAGACUAAAGUUAAAUCCGGCCAUAAAGUUUAUUGCUUCAGACUCACAAGCGGCUGAGAACAGUCCCGCCGAAAUAAAAAGAACAUGCAGGCAAACAGGGUUCAGGGCCUGGUCCCGGGUGCGGGGGAGGGGGUCCUGAACACCCCCCCACACCAGGGUGGGGAUCCUUGGUCCUCAGGGUCCAGUGGGCGCUAGCAGCCCAGGAUCCACCUUGCAACCCGGGGGCCCAGCCUGGAGGUGCAGCCCCAGCCUCGCCGGCCUCUGCCACCCUCCCGCUCUCGCGAGCUAGCCUGAAACCCGGCCCCGAAGGCCGCCGCCUCAAUUCAGCCCUGCCAAAUGACCCCGGCCCGCGAAGACAUAUUGCCACAGCCCCGUAAGGAAUCCCGCCAGAG